UCAGUAGCUCAGUUGGUUAGAGCGCCGGCCUGUCACGCCGGAGGUCGAGGGUUCGAGCCCCUUCUG
Molecule: transfer RNA, 66 nt
Filed under: Anaerotignum faecicola
Lineage: Bacteria; Bacillati; Bacillota; Clostridia; Lachnospirales; Anaerotignaceae
Also listed under: 5 other names
Rfam family: tRNA
About the family: Transfer RNA (tRNA) molecules are approximately 80 nucleotides in length.
Source: RNAcentral